Molecule: RNA transcript, 5136 nt
Organism: Amphibalanus amphitrite
Lineage: Eukaryota; Metazoa; Arthropoda; Thecostraca; Balanomorpha; Balanidae
Gene name: ATP-dependent translocase ABCB1-like
Exons: 25
Source: RefSeq, a predicted model, not a curated record
GGCGGCGGCUGGGCGCCCACCCAACUCCGAUAAAACCGACGACGAGACACGACGAGGGCCAGUGACAGUCAGGUGUCAGACUGGGGUCGCAGAGCACACGGCGAGGACGGGCACGACUGCAGAUAUUACAGGGUCCACGUCGAGCCUCGACUCCUGGAACGACCUCACGAUGGCACCGGUACCUGAGGAUCAAGACUACUCUGACCCGGGGACCCAAACUCCGGAGAUCCAGCUGAAACAGAGCAAACUCGCUACCAUGAGCGAGGUCACACUCAGCACGGAGGAGCCACCAGCAGCGCCUGCCAAAGAGUCGGGCCCGCCACCGGUGCCUUUUCGCCAGCUGUUUCGGUACGCCGACAAAAAGGACCGAUGGCUCAUCUCUGCCGGACUCCUGGCAGCAGUACUGUCGUCCAUGGCCCUGCCGGUAGUUGUUGUCGUGUUUGGGAACGUCACAGAGGCCUUGGCGGAGUUUGGACUCAACCAGACGGCCGACGGGAGUGCAGAGAAGCUGAGCGAUGCCAUAGACGUGUUUGUGUUCGGUAUUCUCGGUACAUCGGCGCUGCAGAUGGCCACGACGAUGUCAUUUGUGUUCUGUCUGUACUACGCGGCGGCAAGACAGUCACGAUGUUUGAAGCAGAAGUUCUUCCGUUCAGCAUUGAGACAAGACAUAUCGUGGUACGAUACCAAACAAAUGGGAAACUUCACUACUCGAGUCACAGACGAUUUGAAGAAAAUAGAGGACGGCAUUGGGGAGAAGAUUGGAAUGAUUAUGGUGUUUUUCAUGACGUUUUUUAUCGGCGUCGGUCUGGCGUUUGUCAGCGGGUGGAAGCUGACUUUAGUGAUCGCCUGCUUCAUCCCUGUCAUGAUUGUCACCGGGGCAUUUAUGGCCAAGCUUCAAGCAAGUUUCGCGCAGAAGGAGGCACAAGCUUACAGUUCAGCAGGCUCAGUGGCUGAAGAGGUGAUCGGUGCCAUCAAGACAGUGAUGGCAUUUGGAGGCGAGAAUAAGGAAUCAGAGAGGUACGCCGCGAGCCUCCAGGGCGCGCGAGCCGCCAUGCUGCGCCGCAGCGCUGUGACAGCACUUGGAGUUGGCAUGGUGUGGCUCACUCAGUACGCUUCGUUCUCGCUGGCUUUCUGGUACGGCACAGAGCUUGUGAUCGAGUCACGGGUCGCCGGUGAUGACCUCUACAACGCUGGGACACUGACCAUUAUAUUUUUCGGAAUUCUGAUCGGAGCAGCCAACGUGGGCCAGGCUACCCCUCAUGUAGAGGCGCUCUCUGCUGCUCGUGGAGCCGCUGCAGCUGUCUAUUCGGUCAUUGAGCGAGAAUCUGAGAUUGAUGCCAACAGCGAGGAGGGGCUGAAGCCUGAGAAAACGGUGGGACAUCUUGAGCUGAGAGACGUCCAUUUCACCUACCCAUCUCGACCAGAGACCCAGAUCUUGAAAGGCAUCAGUUUCGCUGUUCGACCCGGGCAAACAGUGGCUCUGGUCGGCUCCUCCGGCUGCGGAAAGUCCACCUGUGUCCAGCUGAUCCAGCGGUUCUACGACCCCGAGCAAGGAGAGGUCCUGCUGGACGGCCGUGAUGUCCGCGAGCUUAACGUGGCCUGGCUGCGGCGUCAGAUCGGCGUCGUCUCGCAGGAGCCGGUACUGUUCGGCACCACGAUCGCUGAGAACAUCCGCUACGGCCGACCCGACUGCUCCAUGAAGGAUAUUGAGGAGGCUGCUCGCCAAGCCAAUGCCUACGACUUCAUCGAAGAGCUUCCGCUCAAAUUUGACACGAUGGUCGGUCAGAAGGGCGCUCAGUUGAGUGGGGGACAGAAGCAGCGAAUCGCCAUUGCACGUGCGCUCGUGCGCAACCCGCGCGUGUUUCUGCUGGAUGAAGCCACCUCGGCACUGGACUUGCGAAGCGAGGCUGUUGUCCAGCUUGCACUAGAUAGGGCUCGGUCGGGCCGCACCACAAUCGUCGUGGCCCAUCGUCUCUCUACUGUUCGAAGUGCUGAUGUCAUCAUCGCAUUGAGCGACGGACGAGUGGUGGAGACGGGCACCCACGAGCAGCUGAUGAAGAACGAGGGCCUGUACCACGGCCUGGUGACGUCACAGAUCACCGGCGGAGGCGAGGAGGAAGAAGUUGCAGAGGAAAGAGUAGAGGAGGAGGCAGAGGAGGAGGAGGAUGUGGUGGAAGAUAUGGUGGAGGAUAAAGAUGGUUUCCACCUUCCCGCCCUGAGGCGUCCUUCCAUUCCGGGUAUCACGCGUCUGAGGACUCUGUCGUCCGGCUCACACCCCAGCGACGGGCACCAUAUCGGAUCAGAGGUCAACGGGGACUCGACCGCCGUGACUGUCGUCCGCCCGGCCUCCAAAAAGAAGCGCAGAAAAACCGCCAAGAAAUCCGGUGGUGCAGGAGGACAGACUGAGGAGGAAGACGAGGGUGAGCCGGUGUCGGCCUGGAGGCUGCUGCGGCUGAACGGCUCCGAGUGGCCCUACCUGCUGCUCGGCGUGGUCGGAGCAGCCAUCAUGGGAGGCUCCAUACCCGCCUACGCGAUCGUGUUUGGAGGCGUUCUUGGUAAUCUCGCGGUGGAGGAUCCGGACGAAGCGUUGGCUAACGCUCAGUUUUACGGUCUGCUCUUCCUCGGUAUCGGAGUUCUCGCCUUCCUAGCCUCGUUCGCACAGGUGUUCAUGUUCGGCGUGGCUGGCGAGAGGCUCACCACUCGGAUCAGGAAGCUGACGUUCAAGGCGCUGCUGAGACAGGAGGCGGCCUAUUUCGAUGACUCGCGGCAUACUGUCGGUGUGCUGUGUUCACGACUCUCCAGUGAUGCAUCCAGCGUACAGGGCGCAACCGGCACCCGGCUUGGAAACAUGACCCAGGCCGUGUUUACUCUCUUCCUCGGCCUGGGCAUGGCCUUCUAUCUGAGCUGGCAACUGGCGCUGGCGGCUCUGCCGUUUGUGCCGCUCUGUGUGCUGGGGACGUAUGUCGAGAGCAGGCAGACGUCUGGGAACAUGGCUAAGGAAAAGUCCGAUCAGGAGAGUGGCAACCAGAUAGCGGUAGAGGCCAUCUCCAAUGUCCGCACUGUGGCCAGCCUCGGGCUAGAAAACAUGUUUGCUGACCGAUAUGAAGAGCAGCUGAAGAAGACGCAUAGCAAGUACAUGAAGCGCGCGUUCCUCAGAGGUCUGGUGUACGGGGCGGCCCAAACUGCCCCGACCGUCUCUUAUGCUGUCGUGUUCGCCAUCGGAAAGCACCUUGUAAUUGACGGCACCGUACCCUACUCACACCUCUUCAUGAUCACAGAGAGUUUGAUAUACGGUACCAUGGUGAUCGGCGCCGCUGUAGCCUUCUCGCCGGACAUGAACAAGGCGUUCAUCUCGGCCAGACGAGUGUUCGCACUGCUGGACCGAAAACCGACCAUUGAUAGCUCCACCCAGGCUGGACUCAAACUGGUAAGACGCAGAUCAGAUAGACGAAAAUAGGCGCUGACUGGAUUUGACUAGGUACCAAUUUUAGUUGUCAGCUAAUUUGAACCAGCAGUUGUAACUGUCAAAGUAGUUUGUGGGCUAUUAAUGAGGUAUGACAUUCAAACUCUUCGCUGAUUUCUGCCUGUUGGUGUAGGUUUGAACAUCUUUUUUAAUCGAAUACCCUCAGUAACCUUUAUUGAAAUAUUAAGAAUGCCUUUCUCCCGUGAACAGCUUUCACCGGAAAUAAUUGAAGUAAGUGACAUUAUAUAAUUUUGCUUCGUUUCGGACAAUGAUAUGACCUGAAUGUUAAUUAGUAUUUCCUACACAUCUUACUGUUAUCAUAGCAUCUUCUGGUCCUACUUAGGGAUCAACUUAUUGUUUUGUUAUACGGAAAUUUAUUUCAGCAUGCAUAAACACGGACAAGUGACCCCCGCCCUUGUCAGAUCUGUCUGACCUGAUUUAAUCCCUGACCUGACCUGACCUGACCUGACCUGCACAGCCGGGACUGAGCGGCUCCAUCAGUCUGGACGGCGUACAGUUCCGCUACCCCAGUCGCCCGGCGGUGACCGUUCUGCGCGGCCUCAACCUGAAGGUCCAGCCGGGCCAAACUGUGGCACUGGUCGGCGCCUCGGGCUGCGGAAAAUCCACCUGUGUUCAGCUGCUGCAGAGACUCUACGAUCCGGAGCGAGGAGACGUGAGUGUGGACGGCCAGAGCGUGUCCUCACUCCACCUGGGCUGGCUACGGUCCCAGAUCGGCAUCGUCUCUCAGGAGCCGAUCCUCUUCGAUAAGACAAUCGCCGAGAACAUCGCAUACGGGGACAACAGCCGAGAGGUACCGAUGACGGAGAUCAUAGAGGCCGCUCGAGACGCCAACAUCCACAGUUUCAUCACCAGCCUGCCGGCCGGCUAUGACACCCGCUUGGGCAGCAGCAGCAGCACCCAGCUCUCCGGCGGCCAGAAGCAGCGCGUGGCCAUCGCGCGCGCGCUGGUGCGCCGGCCAGCUAUUCUACUGCUGGACGAGGCGACAUCCGCGCUGGAUACGCAGAGUGAACAGGUGGUGCAGCAGGCUCUGGACCGAGCCGCUAACGGGAGAACCUGCCUGGUGAUCGCGCAUCGUCUUUCCACCAUUCAGGGAGCGGAUUGUAUCGUGGUGGUUAAUAGAGGGAGGGCAGUCGAGCAGGGCACUCACCAGGAGCUGCUGGCAAAGAAGGGGAUGUACUAUGAGCUCUAUAAAACGAUGGGUUAGGUGGGCAAGAGAGAAUGUUUGUUGGAGUGCGUAUUCGUACUUACACUAUUUUGGUGGAUAAAGUGUGAUGUUUCUUGCGACAGUAUUUGCACCGGACGGUGCACCAUUGGGAACUGUUUGUUUGUUGGGAACUGUGCAACUGUUCGUCCGUGCCAUGUUUGAGCAGCAGCAGGGAGGUCAUUUCGGUGCCUUAGGGUUGCGCUGUGGUUUGAUAUCUUCGAGUUGGACAUGUAUGACCUGUUUUCAGGUACAAUGAGAUUUUAUGGUGCUGGUACUUAUUGUUGUUACCAGUGGCGUCUUACGUGUACUAGACCUGACUUCAGGGUCUACGAAAUGAUGCCGGCGAACCUCGCCCCAAGCCUGUCUUUUUCCAUGUAACAGCCAAAUGGACAAUUUUGUUAUGCCUUGGCGAAAUGAACAAAUAUAAUCAUCUGUUUCACUCAACUUA